This 340-nucleotide ribosomal RNA is filed under the name uncultured Nitrospirota bacterium. Its description in RNAcentral is "bacterial SSU rRNA". It matches the Rfam family "Bacterial small subunit ribosomal RNA", at positions 29 to 351 of the family's 1533-position model. The record is from RNAcentral. Lineage: Bacteria; Pseudomonadati; Nitrospirota.
AACGAACGCUGGCGGCGUGCCUAACACAUGCAAGUCGAACGAGAAAGUCCUCGCAAGGGGAUGAGUAAAGUGGCGAACGGGUGAGUAACGCGUAGGUAAUCUGCCCUUCGGUCCGGGAUAACUCCGCGAAAGCGGGGCUAAUACCGAAUGAUAUCCUGAAAGCGCAUGCUUUUUGGAUCAAAGAUGGCCUCUGAUUCAAGCUGUCACUGAAGGAUGAGCCUGCGUCUGAUUAGCUUGUUGGUAGGGUAAAGGCCUACCAAGGCGAUGAUCAGUAGCCGACCUGAGAGGGUGAUCGGCCACACUGGAACUGAGACACGGUCCAGACUCCUACGGGAGGCUG